CAUUGUAGUGCAGGGGGCAAGAAC
Molecule: non-coding RNA, 24 nt
Filed under: Cricetulus griseus (Chinese hamster)
Lineage: Eukaryota; Metazoa; Chordata; Mammalia; Rodentia; Cricetidae
Source: RNAcentral